RNAcentral lists this ribosomal RNA (1899 nucleotides) under Enterococcus faecium. RNAcentral's name for it is "bacterial LSU rRNA". It matches the Rfam family "Bacterial large subunit ribosomal RNA", at positions 1 to 1919 of the family's 2925-position model. The record is from RNAcentral. Lineage: Bacteria; Bacillati; Bacillota; Bacilli; Lactobacillales; Enterococcaceae.
AGGUCAAGCUACAAAGGGCGCAUGGUGAAUGCCUUGGCAUCAGGAGCCGAUGAAGGACGUGAUAAGCUGCGAUAAGCUUCGGGUAGGCGCACAUAGCCUGAGAUCCGAAGAUCUCCGAAUGAGGAAACUCACAUGGGAAACCCCAUGUAUCAUUAAGUGAAUACAUAGCUUAAUGAAGGUAACCCAGGGAACUGAAACAUCUAAGUACCUGGAGGAAGAGAAAGAAAAAUCGAUUUUCUUAGUAGCGGCGAGCGAAAGGGAAAGAGCCCAAACCGGAAACUUGUUUCCGGGGUUGUGGACAUAGCAUCAAAGUGGAGGCUAUUGUAACUGAAGAGAACUGGAAAGUUCUACCGUAGAAGGUAAUAGUCCUGUAAGUGAAACGAGAAGACCACGAGUUAUGAUCCAGAGUACCACGAGACACGUGAAACCUUGUGGGAAGCAGGGAGGACCACCUCCCAAGGCUAAAUACUACCUGAUGACCGAUAGUGAAGCAGUACCGUGAGGGAAAGGUGAAAAGAACCCCGGGAGGGGAGUGAAAUAGAACCUGAAACCGUGUGCCUACAACCGCUCAGAGCCCCUUAUGAGGGUGAUGAGGUGCUUUUUGUAGAACGAGCCAACGAGUUACGGUAUGUAGCAAGGUUAAGUACUUAAGGUACGGAGCCGAAGGGAAACCGAGUCUGAAUAGGGCGACUAGUUGCAUGCCGUAGACCCGAAACCGGGUGACCUAUCCAUGGCCAGGUUGAAGCGAGGGUAAAACCUCGUGGAGGACCGAACCACGUUGCUGUUGAAAAAGCAUGGGAUGAGCUGUGGAUAGCGGAGAAAUUCCAAUCGAACCCGGAGAUAGCUGGUUCUCUCCGAAAUAGCUUUAGGGCUAGCGUCGAGUAUGAGUAGUGGAGGUAGAGCACUGAAUGGGCUAGGGGGCAUAGCGCUUACCGAACCUUAUCAAACUCCGAAUGCCACAUACUUUGAGCUCGGCAGUCAGACUACGAAUGAUAAGAUCCGUGGUCAAAAGGGAAACAGCCCAGAUCGUCAGCUAAGGUCCCAAAGUGUAAGUUAAGUGGGAAAGGAUGUGAGAUUUCUAAGACAACUAGGAUGUUGGCUUAGAAGCAGCCAUUCAUUAAAAGAGUGCGUAAUAGCUCACUAGUCGAGAGAUCUUGCGCCGAAAAUGUAACGGGGCUAAACUUACCACCGAAGCUACGGGCUUGAACUUAGUUCAAGCGGUAGGAGAGCGUCGUAACCGGGCUGAAGUCGUACCGUAAGGAGCGGUGGACUGGUUACGAGUGAGAAUGUUGGCAUCAGUAGCGAGAUGUGGGUGAGAAUCCCACAGGCCGAAAACCUAAGGUUUCCUCAGGAAGGUUCGUCCGCUGAGGGUUAGUCGGGACCUAAGCCGAGGCCGAAAGGCGUAGGUGAUGGACAACUGGUUGAUAUUCCAGUACCACUACCAUCGUUAUUAUCGAUGGCGUGACGCAGGAGGAUAGUGUGUGCUAGCUAUUGGAUGCUAGUCUAAGCGUUUAGGCAGUGAGAGUAGGCAAAUCCGCUCUCAUAAUGCUGAGGCGUGAUGGGGAAGGUUCUACGGAACCGAAGUACAUGAUUCCACGCUGCCAAGAAAAGCGUCUAGAGAGAGAAGUAGUGCCCGUACCGCAAACCGACACAGGUAGGUGAGGAGAGAAUCCUAAGGCCGGCGGAAGAAUUACAGUUAAGGAACUCGGCAAAUUGACCCCGUAAGUUCGCGAGAAGGGGUGCCUACGAGAGUAGGCCGCAGAGAAUAGGCCCAAGCAACUGUUUAGCAAAAACACAGGUCUCUGCUAAAGCGUAAGCUGAUGUAUAGGGGCUGACGCCUGCCCGGUGCUGGAAGGUUAAGGGGAACACUUAGCGCAAGCGAAGGUACGAAUUGAAGCC